Molecule: long non-coding RNA, 907 nt
Organism: Aedes albopictus (Asian tiger mosquito)
Lineage: Eukaryota; Metazoa; Arthropoda; Insecta; Diptera; Culicidae
Exons: 2
Source: RefSeq, a predicted model, not a curated record
AUUAAAACUGCUUAUACCUAUGAUCACUUUUUCUAUUCCAUAGUAUAGGAAUAAUGAUAAAAGCCCUUCUCAUACCGCAUGAAUGAAGGGCCUUUGAAGCGAAUAAUUAGGAACAUCCAUUGGGAUGGAUUCCUCCAACCAUUUGCGUAGAAAAACGUGGUCAGUUGAGUCUUUCCGAGUAACUCAAAGUUUUCGACAGAAAAAUCUUUUUAAUAUAAACCGACCAUAAACUGGUCCAUUAGCAUCUUGUACACUGAACAACAUCAAAAGAAAAUGCAUUUUCUCUAUAAAUUUUGCACAUCACUUUUAAAACUUUAUUCAUCGUGAAACAAGUGCUGCACAAUUUUCACAAAUCUGUCAAAAACAAAACAUUUUAUAGCAACGCAACUGGAAUGGACAGUUUGUGAACUUUCAAGAUAGGGUUAAAGAUCAACAUGCAACUGUGUACAAUGGUAAUUAAACGUUUGAACCAUUGUAGAAUAUUUUUAUGAAUAUAUCGUAUAAGAAAUAGAUGUUUGCGCGUAAUAACACUAUAAUGUUGAAAUCCUUGCCUAUAACAUAUCAUUAUGAUCAACAUUGUACUGUUUGUGUAUCGAAUUAAACUUUUUAGACGAGUAUAUUAAGCUUUUCUGGGGAAUGGUACAUUCUGGGUAAUGGAUUUCUGGGGAAUGGAUUUCUGGGAAAUGGUACAUUCUGGGGAAUGGUACAUUCUGGGAAAUGGUUUUCUGGGGAAUGGAAUUCUGGGGAUUGGUAUUCUGGGGAAUGGUUUUCUGGGGAAUGUUAUAGAAUCGAUCGAGCAAAUAUAAAGUUAUAGUGCCUGAAGUUAAAUCUUUGGACGAAAGGAAAAGAAAAUCAGCCAGAGAAACUCUGCUGACGGUUUUAUUACACAUCCUUUUAAUAAAAACAA